Molecule: small nucleolar RNA, 100 nt
Filed under: Dichanthelium oligosanthes
Lineage: Eukaryota; Viridiplantae; Streptophyta; Magnoliopsida; Poales; Poaceae
Description: Small nucleolar RNA snoR99
Rfam family: Small nucleolar RNA snoR99
Source: Rfam by way of RNAcentral
GUGCCUGUGGGAUGAACAGGUCCCAACAGUUACUUCCAUUUUUUCACUUUGUCAGCUAAUAGCCAUACAUUUUUAGCUGAUCAUUAAGAAUGGGAGACGC